This is a long non-coding RNA of Chrysemys picta bellii (western painted turtle), 1782 nucleotides long. RefSeq lists it as uncharacterized. The record is from RefSeq and is a predicted model, not a curated record. Lineage: Eukaryota; Metazoa; Chordata; Testudines; Emydidae.
GCUGCUUUAUGAAGGGCCGUGUGCCCUGUCUGAGUUGGGAGAAGCUGAGCCCGGGAGUAGAAAGCAGGUUGUUGUCCCUAACUCUGAAGCAUGUUGCAGUAGUUAAGUAUCUAGAUUAAUCAGUGGACUGGCAAACGGUGGUUUCAGCGGAGGAAAAGUCUGCAUGGAUUCUAACUGAAGAUUACUACAAGCCAGUGGAGGGAAGAUGUUGCUUUUUGACUCAGUAGACUGUAUAGAUUCAGUGCGGACUCAGGAUGAGAGAAGAAAUGGAGCAUCAUAGAUCACGCUUAUUCCGGAACAUCUUACUUUGGCAAUAUUGAGCUGCACCUGGAGUCACUAUUAGUGAUCAAGGAACAUGAAGGAGUUUCUAAAAAUGUGGGUGUGUGUUCGAGCUCAAAACCUUCUCCUUACAGAUAUCUAUGAGGGUUCUCAAGGAUGUCAGCUGUCCAGGCUUCCAAGUACUCAAGAGUAUCUAGACUGGGAGUGGAUUAUUUCCUUGUUGGUAGAGCAAUGAGUUGACACAAACACAGGAUGAUGUAUCCUAAUCUAAUUGUUUUAUAAUUGUAUCCGCUUCAAUGAGAAUAUCGGAUGUCAAAUCUAAAAUGUAGCUCCUUACUUACAGACAUGGUUCUCUAAAACUCCACCAAAACCCCUGGGUUUACCCUUGGUUGAAUUCCAAUCUCAACAAGACACUCACUAAUUUGAUCAAUAGCAGUAUAGGAGUUGGAUGAAAUGGAAACAUAGAGCUUGCUCUGUUUUUUAUUUUAUAGACAUGACAGCCCGUGCUUCCUCACUAGCUCUCCUAAUGACUUCACAUGCAUAUCAAACAGGUGACAGAAUAGAACUGUGCAGUGCUGCACCUGAAAGAAAGCACUGGGGCAGAUGGGUAAAUCACCCAGUACUGCCCUCUGAGUCCUCUGAAAGAGAAAAGAACAGAGCCACUCAAGCACGAAUUUGCCAUUUCUGUGGACUGUAUCAACACCACUUUGUCAUCAAUGGCAUAAAAGGCAUCUGAUAGUCCUAAAAAAAAUCCACAGUGAGAACACUUGAGAAUUAUCCCUGGAGGAGAAUAGCCCUGUGAGACCAACACAGCUGAUGAGCCAUAUCCAGGUUUAACACUGAGUUUGAGCAAGAUCAAGAUAAUAGGAGGACUCGAAGAUUUGCUGUACAUGGCGGAGAAAAAACAGAAAAUUCUCCAUAAUCUUUUCCUUAAAGGGAAUAUUGGUAGCCAGUGCUGGGAUGUAAUUAAGAUUUUUCAGUGUCAAAUGAUGGUUUCCUGUGCUACAGCUCCGUGUAUUGGCGAUACUGAUGAUACUCAACUCCGUCUCCUUUUCAUUAGACCCAGAGGGAACCAUCUUUCUCAUCCCAAAUUCUGAUGGAACUGAAUAUCACAAUGAAAGCCAGCUAUUUUAAGCUCAUUGAGGAUUUACUAGCCUCAUCCUUCUUCCUGAAUUAACAGGCAGUGGCAGUGGCCAAAAUUGCCUUCUGUCAUGAUGGUCUAGCCAGAAGAUUGCAUAAUUUCCUAUUAGAUGAUGACCUUGCCACAGAAAUCCAUGGAUUUUUCUAUUCAAGGCCCAGCUUCUGCCUAUCACUUUAACUGGGGCUAUCUUUGAAGGUAUUCAGAAGCAGCAAGUACAGUAGAAUGCAGCUACCACCCUUUUGACUACCUCAUCAGUCACAGCAUAUUGCAUCUGUGCAUGGCAUUCUGCACAGGCUACCAAUAUGCUUGCAGGUGACAUUCUGUGUGUUGGAAUACUGUAGGGUUACCAUUCGUCCGGAUUU